AUUGAACGCUGGCGGCAUGCUUUACACAUACAAGUCGAACGGCAGCGCGGGCUUCGGCCUGGCGGCGAGUGGCGAACGGGUGAGUAAUACAUCGGAACGUGCCCAGUAGUGGGGGAUAGCUCGGCGAAAGCCGGAUUAAUACCGCAUACGACCUGAGGGUGAAAGCGGGGGAUCUUCGGACCUCGCGCUAUUGGAGCGGCCGAUGGCAGAUUAGCUAGUUGGUGGGGUAAAGGCCUACCAAGGCGACGAUCUGUAGCUGGUCUGAGAGGACGACCAGCCACACUGGGACUGAGACACGGCCCAGACUCCUACGGGAGGCAGCAGUGGGGAAUUUUGGACAAUGGGCGAAAGCCUGAUCCAGCAAUGCCGCGUGUGUGAUGAAGGCCUUCGGGUUGUAAAGCACUUUUGGCGGGAACGAAAAGGACUGUGCCAAUACCACGGUUCGAUGACGGUACCCGCAGAAUAAGCGCCGGCUAACUACGUGC
This 485-nucleotide ribosomal RNA is filed under the name uncultured bacterium. Its description in RNAcentral is "partial 16S ribosomal RNA". It matches the Rfam family "Bacterial small subunit ribosomal RNA", at positions 29 to 508 of the family's 1533-position model. The record is from RNAcentral.